Molecule: long non-coding RNA, 455 nt
Organism: Bombyx mori (domestic silkworm)
Lineage: Eukaryota; Metazoa; Arthropoda; Insecta; Lepidoptera; Bombycidae
Exons: 3
Source: RefSeq, a predicted model, not a curated record
UAUAAAGGUUGCUGCUUUUAGAUUGUUGUUGGACUUCAAUAGAGAGUUAUAUUUCAGGUAUUCACUUAAAAAAGACACUGCACGUGAUUUUAAGAACUUCAUCGCUUUGUAUCGAGGACAGCUUUCUUUUGUGGCCAACCAAUUGAAAUCGAUUCAGCUGUCACUCAACUCGCUGAAACCGAUUUGAUAUUUAGUUCCUGUGGCUACUCAACUCUAGUAUUGAAAAUUGUUAAAAAAAGUUAACGGCGGCCGUAGAUGAUAGUUUUUGUUAUGGUAUUUUGUUGAACGUUCUAAUAGUGCAGCCAAAACAUUUUUUUAUGAAAAUGGCGGGGGCAGAUGGCGCUGGUGCUGCUCAUUAAGAGGGCCCCGCACCCCGCCCCCUCCCACGUCCAUUCUUCACGGGUGCCGAUCUGCCGAAGAGAAUGGAUCUAGCAUCAACGAAACCCUUUAGGUAA